AAUAAGGUACUAGUAUAGCUGAAAAUACACUGCUUUGUCAAGGCAGAGUCGUGGGUUAAAGCCCCACGUACCUUA
Molecule: transfer RNA, 75 nt
Filed under: Hemigobius hoevenii
Lineage: Eukaryota; Metazoa; Chordata; Actinopteri; Gobiiformes; Gobiidae
Description: tRNA-Asp
Rfam family: tRNA
About the family: Transfer RNA (tRNA) molecules are approximately 80 nucleotides in length. Their secondary structure includes four short double-helical elements and three loops (D, anti-codon, and T loops).
Source: RNAcentral